GAGACCCACGCCAACAGUUGCCAGCAUGUCCUCCGGGAUGGUGGGGACACUGUUGGGACCGCCUCUGCUAAAGAGGAGGAAGGAAUGGGCAACGGUAGGUCAGCAUGCCCCGAAUUAUCCGGGCUACACGCGGGCUACAAUGGUCAGGACAAUGGGUAUCGACACCGAGAGGUGAAGGCAAUCUCUUAAACCUGUCCUUAGUUCGGAUUGUAGGCUGCAACUCGCCCACAUGAAGCUGGAAUCCGUAGUAAUCGCGUCUCAAAAUGGCGCGGUGAAUAU
This 279-nucleotide ribosomal RNA is filed under the name uncultured archaeon. RNAcentral describes it as "partial 16S rRNA". It matches the Rfam family "Archaeal small subunit ribosomal RNA", at positions 1047 to 1325 of the family's 1478-position model. The record is from RNAcentral.